Molecule: ribosomal RNA, 205 nt
Filed under: Providencia alcalifaciens
Lineage: Bacteria; Pseudomonadati; Pseudomonadota; Gammaproteobacteria; Enterobacterales; Morganellaceae
Description: partial 23S ribosomal RNA
Rfam family: Bacterial large subunit ribosomal RNA
Source: RNAcentral
CAUGCCAAUGGCAUUGCCCGGUAGCUAAGUGCGGAAGAGAUAACCGCUGAAAGCAUCUAAGCGGGAAACUUGCCUUGAGAUGAGUCUUCCCUGACUCUUUAAGGGUCCUAAAGGAACGUUUAAGACUAAGACGUUGAUAGGUUGGGUGUGUAAGCGUAGCGAUACGUUGAGCUAACCAAUACUAAUGAACCGUGAGGCUUAACCU